RNAcentral lists this ribosomal RNA (262 nucleotides) under uncultured archaeon. RNAcentral describes it as "partial 16S ribosomal RNA". It matches the Rfam family "Archaeal small subunit ribosomal RNA", at positions 748 to 1009 of the family's 1478-position model. The record is from RNAcentral.
CAGCCGUAAACUAUGCGCGUUAGGUGUAUCGGUGACCACGAGUUACCGAGGUGCCGAAGGGAAACCGUGAAACGUGCCGCCUGGGAAGUACGGUCGCAAGGCUGAAACUUAAAGGAAUUGGCGGGGGGAGCACCACAACGGGUGGAGCCUGCGGUUUAAUUGGACUCAACGCCGGGAAGCUCACCGGAUAAGACAGCGGAAUGAUUGCCGGGCUGAAGACUCUGCAUGACUAGCUGAGAGGAGGUGCAUGGCGUAGACGUCU